AUCUCCGUAAAGCGCCUGGCGAUGUAGCACAUUGUAGAUCAGACGACAAAGACCGCCAGAAAUUGUUUGUCUCAUUUUUGUUGUUUCUUCCAUAACAGAUAUGUACAACAGUUGCUUAAACAGAUUUGUUAAUAUUUUUAACGUUUUUACAGGUGAAUGGUUAGGUUUUAUGUACUAUAUAGUCCAUUUUCGCUUCGAUAGACGAAUUGAAACAGGUGGGUGGGGAAUGCUGUUUAUACGUUACGUGAUUAGAUUGGUCAGUUAUUUCUGUUUGUGCAAAAAUUACUAAAACUAUUGGUGUUCUUUUUCACGGAUUUGUAUUCAAAUCACUUUGGGGUAGUUUUAAGUUGUAUCGUUUGUUUCCUUGUUAAGGAUUAAAAUAAUUUAAAUUUGUCUUUCAACUGGUCCACCAGGGCAGGAGUAUUUCUGUCCACACACACUUUCUAACAACAAAUUGAAGUAAAAUCUUAUUUACAUUUAGUGAUGUAGGAAAUGGCGCAUGAUGUCCAAUGAUCAGCUAUGGGAUUGACUAUAUGUUUAUACCUGUCUGAUAAUGCAUGUAUAUAAAUUAACAAUUUUUAUCUAGGGGCCCAGACUAUUUUACAUUAGUUAUUUAGGCAUUUCUUCUAGAAAGCUUGGGCCCUACCCAAAAGUUAGGACCAUUGCGACUGGAUCCCUGUUAUUUUAUAUCCCUGUAAUGGAAGCACGAUGGGCACACUAACAAAGUUUGCACUCUUACCCUAUGCUACGACCGGAUGUAAACAAUACGUUCGCACAGGGCAUGCGCGAUUAUUAAAUCCCACCCAUUUUAUUCGAUUAAAUUCUAGAACAACCUCUACUUUCGGUUUCAAUUUUGCUGACAAGGAACAGUUUGAGUCAACGUAAGUGUUAAUUUUAAUAGCAAUGUCCAAAACUUUGCACUACACGGCGUAAUUUUCAUUACAUAUCGGGUAUUAUUACCGUCAUGGUAGUUUUUAUUCCAGUCGGUCAAAAUGACGGUACACAUUUACAUGUAAACAAACAGAUUUAACUUCUCAGACAAUUUAAAUAAGGAAUGGACACACGGUAAACUCUGUUGCAACGUAAAGUAUAUUCAUAAACCUACUGUUUGUGAAAAAUUGUCUCCGUGUUCAAAUAAAUUUCAAAAACGGGGAAAAAAGCAGUCUUUUACCGAUACCCUGCAACUGAACCUUAUUAUUCUGACGAAUUAAAUUGACUUUAUAACGCUCGUAUACAAUUAUUUAUUGAUCGAUUUUCAUUAUAUUUAUUUUGUAAUACCUAUCAUUCAAUAUGCAAUCACACAAAACCAAGUUUUCCUACAUUCAAUGAAAUUGUAAGUUAGGACGAGCUUUCAAAACGAACAGAUAGCAAUUUCCAACACUCUUACCGAAACUCCAACAUGGCGGCUCAACCUGGCUCAUUUGCAUAAUUUAUUCAUAAAUGCAGGAGCAUAGAACUUUCAGUUUGUUAGUGGGGCAGGUAUUAAUAAUUGUCAUUUAACAGUAACUGUAUAAACCUUUUGAUUGAAAUUUCCUAUAAACCCCCACCCCCCUAAAUUUCUUUAUUUUCAAUAUUUUAUAAACUUUAGAAUGAAAAGACAAAUAAACAUAUAUAGUUCUAUAUUAUUAUCACACAUUUAUAAUAAAUGUUCCUUUGUAAGGGUGCAACUAUUCAGCUUUCUCUGGAUUUGAUUCUUAAUUCCAUUUAAAUUUCGAUUUGAUUAUUGAGGCUAAGUUAACAUUAAUUUUAUAUAGGGAAUACUUUAAAAAUAAUUUUUAACUACACUUAAACUUUAUUUAGGACAGCAAAGAAAAACAUACUGAAUAAAACUUUUAAACAACAUAGCUAGAAAACAGAAACCAUAUCAUGUUACAUUCAACGUGUUUUGAUUUGGAUAAGCAAGAACACGUUGUCAAGUAAAGAAACGCUUAUAUUAUAUAUAAUAUUCAAAUAUAAAACAUUCAAUUAAUAUCAGAAAGUCAAAGUGUUUUUCCCCUACUUUGAGAAUGGUGCUGGUACAAUUAACGGUACCGGACAGAUUGGGAAAAAAUCCAUCGGUUUGACUUAAAUUGGGAAUUUUAUUUUAGAUGCAAAAUAUUUAUUGGGAAUUUCUUUUAUCCAGGGAGGUGAUGAAAAUUUUGCAUAAUUAUACACUUUAAAAUCAUGUAUUAUUAACUUUAAAGAUUAUUUUUGCUGCUUGAGGUUGAAAAAAAAAUUGAUAAUCAUAACAAUUGUACAUAAAUAAUGUUUAGUAGGUGUGAAACAUAAAGGGGAGCGGUGGCCUAGUUGUUAAGGUGUCUGCCUCUCAACCCAGAGAUCAUGGGUUCGAGCCCUACACGGGUCACGACCAUGUUUCUUCAUAUGACACCAGUACUGGUUGGUUCCAGGAAGCGGACUCGAAAGUGAUUGAUAUAAGUUGCAAGAACUUGUUUCGCAAUCGAGCUAAAAUAAAUAUGUUUAAAACCUUAAACAUAAAGUACGAAAUGAACUGGGUACGAAUAUCACUCAUGUGGUUUUACUUGGUUUUUAUCGUAUAUCACUUAUCAAUACGGAAGGCUCCGAGGCAUGCAUUACUGUUUUUAGAGGUAAUUUUCAGUGUUAAAUUUGGAAUUUAUCAGUCAUGAAUUGGAAAAUUUGCUGUCUAUUUUCUAUUGGGAACGGUGCCGUUUUCCGGUAUCAGUUAUAUAAGGAAAAAUACUGGGUUGUUGUUAAGAUUUUAGUCAUUGACUAGAUUUCUACCAGAAUUUUUUUGUUUUUACUCUUCUUGUGCAAGUUGUGGUUAUAGAGUGUGAUGAACAUAUUGACUCUUACUUUGUAAAACGCUUAGAUACAAAGACAGUUGCUAAAAAAUAUCAAGAUCUCAAGUUUGUUUUGCCCCUGUCUUGCAUAUCUGUAAUGGAAGAACAGUUAUUAUGGAUAAAUACAGGUACUUCAAUAAAAUGUAAUUUUGGGUACUGUCAGAUCUACAUGUUACGCUACAAGUUUCUUCUCAUAAUUACAUAUUUAACAACUAGUAUGGCUAAUGAGUACAAAAUUUUGGAGGUGUUACACUACAAGGCAGAAGAGAAUAUCUGUCCUUGCAAGCAGUCUUGAAGACCUUCUGAAUAAAGCUGGUGACAAGCAACAGUUGCAAGGAGGAAGAUGGAUUGUUGUGCUGGAAAAAGAUGUGACAGAAAUGGAAGAAAACGCCAUCCUUGACAUAUUCAAAACUAAGUAUUGAUGCUUCUAGAAGACCAACAAUUAUGAGAACCAGAUAUUCCAAAAGACACUGUUGUAAUGUUUGGGCAGACACCCAAGAUGCCAACAUGUCAAAGACUGAGACAGAGUCCACAACUGUUACCACAGCAACAGAAAUUGUAACACCAUCUUAUGUUGUUGGAAAUUAAAUUAAUUCUUGCAGUAGGCCACAUCCAACCAUUUGUUGACAAUCUAGAGAUAUUGUUUGAAGCAGUAGCUACACUUAAACCUGGAGGAAAAGAGUGCAAAGAUGAUUUGGACGUUAUAAGAGCCAUAGAAAGUAAUACAGGAUUCAAACAUGGAAAGGGGUGCAAGACUAGAUAAAUUGUAGUUCUACAUAAGGAUAUUGAAGAAGCUAAUCUGUCAAAGGUCCUGUCAUCACAGCCUAAUACUCCUCCAAGUGAAGCCUUGUUUUUAUUUUUAACAACAUAGAACUGGACAAACAGUAUAUUGUUGGAGACCAGUGCAAGAUACCACUUGAGACAGAUAGCCUCAUGGAAGGGCUAUUCUUAUUGAUAAGCUGGUAUUAUAUAAUGGAUCUAGAAAAUCCCACUGCUUUUCACAACUCCUUGGAUUCAUGCAACAAACAGUAUUUAAACAAGCCUUUCUUAGUCACAAGUCGGCUGGGUAUUUACACUUUGUGGAAAAAUUGGAAAAACUAAUGAACAAAUAGAACCAACAUUUUAAAUUAAAUUCAACCUUCUGUGUCAUGGACAUAUUAUUGACUUCUUAACAGCUUACAUUUUACCAUGAAAAAACCUGCUUUUUUUGCACUUACAAAAACAAAGGUGCAGAAUAGCUGUGUGGUAACCAUCAGCUGAUCAGUGCCUUUAUUUUUGCUGCAUAGAUGGUGCAAUCCCUCCCCUUCCAGGCUUCCUUAAUCAGACAUUUAAAUCCUCUUGAUGUCUGAACAUGAAGCUGUAUAUUUUGGCUCUAUUUGAAAUAGCAAAUGUCAAGUGUCAAUAUUUUUCAAAACAGCUAAGACUAUGCUUCUUUUAAGGAACUUUUAAAUCUAGUGAUUUAUCAAAUUAUUAUUCACUAGCAGAAAGGAUUGACUUAAUAAUGCAGUGUUUAAACACUAAUUUUAUUAUUUAUGACAUCAGUAUGUUAUUGCAGACUGUGACAUUUUUAUGUCAAUGAAGCAUUAAAAUGCCAUAUAUUAUAAAUUGUUUAUUACAGUUAAGAAGUAUUAGUGCUAUUUGUUGUUUGCAAAUGUUAAUAUGCUCUUAUUUUGUACAUGCUAUGUAGUAAGUUUAAUAUAUUGCAUUGAUGUCUUAAAUAAGUUUGUAUUUUGUUGAUGUAUUACUGUCUAACUUUAACACAUGCUCACUUCAUUAUCAUAUCAGAUUUAUUAAAUUUUCAUUUACUGAUUUCAAGUGGUAAGCAGAAUUAUUUACAGAGAUCACUAGUUUUCACUGAUCAGGCACCUUUGUUGUGCAUUUAAAUUUUUGGUGUUUUCGGAGUCAAAGAAAUGAUUUAUCAAAAUAUUGUAUAAAGUUGCAUUGUAACAUUUUAGAGUGCUAAAGUGUACCAUUUUUUUGUCUAAGCCUUAAGCGCACCACAACAAAAGAUAUUUAUGAACCAUCAGGAUAUAUACUGUUACUGAUGAAAAAUAGAGCACUAGUGCACAGACUUUUGACUCCCCCCCCCCCUCCGGACAGUCAACAUUGAAUGACCGAUUUUUGACACUGUCUGAAAAUACUGUUUGUUUUUUUCCAACCCAAAUAUGAUACAUAUAUGUGCCAAAAACCUUGUUUUUUACAUUUUACAGGGAGGUAGACUUUACUGUGUAAAAAUUUAAAUCCAUUUUAUAUAUGUUUUCAUUUUACCUGAAAUUCUACUGAUAUCCAUAUAUCAAUUUGCUUUUGUUGUUUAAUUGUCUAUUUAUUUACUUAAUUGUUUGCCUAAAUAUAACUGUAAUCUGUUUUAUGUAUUUAUUUUAUACAUUCAUUUUUAAUCCCCUUCUGCAUAGAGGGGAGGGGAUUACAGGAAUGGCCUCAGUCUGUCUUCCAUGUCCACUCCAUAACUUUUUUAAACUGUGAAAAUUUUUUGAAAUAACUUGGCACAAAUGGUCAGUAUGAGACGAUGUGCAGAGCGCAAUAAUCGGGUCGCUACCCCUAAGGUCACAACUUAAGGUCAUAGGUUAAAAAGUCUACCUUUUGUGUCCGCUCCAUAACUUCAACUGAUGAAAAGUUUUUAACAUAACUUGGCACAAAUGAUCACCUUUAUAUCAUGAUGAGCAAAGCACAACAACAAGGUCACUACCUCCAAGGUCAAGGUCACACUUAAAAGUCAAAUGUUAAUGGUCCACUUUUUGUGUCCCCUAAAUAACUUAAUCUGCUGAAAAGUUUUUAAAAUAACUUGGCACAAAUGAUCACCAUUAUAAUAGGAUGUGCAGAGCGCAACAAUCAGGUCACUGCCCCAAAAGUCACAGGUAGAGGUCAAAUAUUCUUGUUUAUAACUUUUUGACAUGGAAGAUUUUAAAUAUUUUAGCAUAAAUAAUCACGACCAUGGCACAACAGCCAGGUUUUUCUCUAAAAGACAUGGUUUGUUAAAGAUCAAGAAGUACAGAUUCCUGUCCACUGCGAAGGGGAUAUAGAUGUCCUUCAGACUGCCUUGUUUUUAAUUGUUUGAAGUUUGAAAAUGAAAAUGCUCUUUUUAAUUUUGUGAUUGGUAACACCAGAAUUUCGGGUAUAUUGCAUUGGAUUGUAACAUGGCUGACAAGGUGACAGUAAAAUUGCCACCUGUAGAAAAUGCUACCUCAGUUGACAGCGUUUUUCCAAAAGUUGUUAACUUUACUGUCACUCUGUCAGGCAUGCAAUAUUAAUUUUAGUCUACCAAAAAAUCUAUUAUGAUAAUGGUAGGGUGUCUUGAUCUAUUUAACAUUUAUGUGCAGUAAUGAAGAACAAUUAGUAUUUAACCUAAAUUUCAAAAUGUUAUUAAAAUGUGUAUAAUAUGUUUAUGUGUCAUUGUUCACAUUUUUUGGUUGAUCGUGUUUUGAAAUAAAACAUGGAAACUAUUAAAA
Ruditapes philippinarum (Manila clam) is the source of this 6262-nucleotide long non-coding RNA. RefSeq lists it as uncharacterized. The record is from RefSeq and is a predicted model, not a curated record. The transcript has 5 exons. Lineage: Eukaryota; Metazoa; Mollusca; Bivalvia; Venerida; Veneridae.